Molecule: ribosomal RNA, 766 nt
Filed under: alpha proteobacterium SCGC AAA003-A09
Lineage: Bacteria; Pseudomonadati; Pseudomonadota; Alphaproteobacteria
Description: SSU rRNA
Rfam family: Bacterial small subunit ribosomal RNA
Source: RNAcentral
AUGCAGUCGACGAAGUAGCAAUACUUAGUGGCAAACGGGUGAGUAACAUGUGGGUAUCUGCCCUUUGGCCUGGAAUAACACGGGGAAACUUGUGCUAAUACCGGAUAAGUCUUUUAAGAGAAAGCUUUAUGCACCAAUGGAUGAGCCCGCACCUGAUUAGUUAGUUGGUGGGGUAAUGGCUUACCAAGACAAUGAUCAGUAGCUGAUUUGAGAGGAUGAUCAGCCACAUUGGGACUGAGACACGGCCCAAACUCCUACGGGAGGCAGCAGUGGGGAAUCUUGCACAAUGGGGGAAACCCUGAUGCAGCGAUGCCGCGUGAGUGAAGAAGGCCCUUGGGUUGUAAAGCUCUUUCGUCGGGGAAGAAAAUGACUGUACCCGAAUAAGAAGGUCCGGCUAACUUCGUGCCAGCAGCCGCGGUAAUACGAAGGGACCUAGCGUAGUUCGGAAUUACUGGGCUUAAAGAGUUCGUAGGUGGUUAAAAUAGUUGGUGGUGAAAUCCCAGAGCUUAACUCUGGAACUGCCAUCAAAACUUUUUAGCUAGAGUAUGAUAGAGGAAAGUAGAAUUUCUAGUGUAGAGGUGAAAUUCGUAGAUAUUAGAAAGAAUACCAAUUGCGAAGGCAGCUUUCUGGAUCAUUACUGACACUGAGGAACGAAAGCAUGGGUAGCGAAGAGGAUUAGAUACCCUCGUAGUCCAUGCCGUAAACGAUGUGUGCUAGACGUUGGAAAUUUUAUUUUCAGUGUCGCAGCAAAAGCGAUAAGCACACC